This is a long non-coding RNA of Beta vulgaris subsp. vulgaris (sugar beet), 717 nucleotides long. RefSeq lists it as uncharacterized. The transcript is spliced from 2 exons. NCBI's taxonomy places the organism in Eukaryota, Viridiplantae, Streptophyta, Magnoliopsida, Caryophyllales, Amaranthaceae. The record is from RefSeq and is a predicted model, not a curated record.
UUACAUCCGGAGUUUGUGACUUGACAUUAUGUGCCACAUUUUAAAAGUAGGCUAAUGUUUUACAAUGGAGAGAAUAUGAAGUUUGAUGAUUGUACCGCACAGUUAAUUGAAAUUUUUAACCUUCAUGAAUCUCUAUAGUCUGCAAAAAAUAUUAGCACUCUUUACUGUUUUAACUUGGAAAAUAUUUUCUCUAUUUCAGAUAUCCUUUCGAUGAAGCAGCCACCAUAGCCGUAUCCACAGUUGAGGAGUUUGCCAACGACUUUAAGGAGGUUUCUUUUGUACUAUUUGCAGAUGACAUAUACAAUGUUUGGUUGGAGAAAGCGAAGGCGAUUGUUGAAAAAUAGGGUUAUUCACAGAUGCUGAAAAGCCAAGUAGUUGGAAAUAAGAGUAUGUAUAAAUUUUAUGGAAAUAGAGAACAACUGAAACACUCAGAGAUGACAGAGCUUCUCUUAAGUGACAUGAAAAUUUUAUCAGCCACUGCAUAAAGUUUAGAAGUAGAAAUAAAUUGUCUUUCAUAGUCAUCACUUAUCAGCAUAAUCUUCUGCAUAAUUGCUUUGCCAAAGACAGAAUCCUCAAGUUGGCAUGAAUAUCUCAGGAUUAUUCUGAAUUCUUGUAAAAGCUUUUGUAUCCUGCAAGCGAACAACAAUAAGUUCAGCCAUGACAGAUAUUAUAUCUAGCAAAGAUGUAUUAGCCAAAAUAAAAAAUGCAGUUUCUUAC